GGGUGCUUGGCGCAAUGGCUAGCGUGUUUGGCUUCGAUGCCUUACGUAAUAUGUGGGCGACACGUGACCAAAAGGUUGCAGGUUCGAGUCCUGCAGUGCUCA
Non-coding RNA from Mycena vulgaris, 102 nucleotides. NCBI's taxonomy places the organism in Eukaryota, Fungi, Basidiomycota, Agaricomycetes, Agaricales, Mycenaceae. The record is from the annotation of a GenBank genome assembly.